RNAcentral lists this non-coding RNA (107 nucleotides) under human gut metagenome. RNAcentral describes it as "FMN riboswitch (RFN element)". It matches the Rfam family "FMN riboswitch aptamer (RFN element)". From Rfam's summary of the family: The RFN element is a highly conserved domain that is found frequently in the 5'-untranslated regions of prokaryotic mRNAs that encode for flavin mononucleotide (FMN) biosynthesis and transport proteins. This element is a metabolite-dependent riboswitch that directly binds FMN in the absence of proteins. The record is from RNAcentral.
UUCUUCAGGGCAGGGUGCAAGUCCCUACCGGUGGUAUAGCCCACGAGCCGUAAGGCAUGAUUCGGUGUAACUCCGAAGCCGACAGUAUAGUCUGGAUGAAAGAAGAA